This is a long non-coding RNA of Salvelinus fontinalis (brook trout), 4271 nucleotides long. RefSeq lists it as uncharacterized. The transcript is spliced from 5 exons. Lineage: Eukaryota; Metazoa; Chordata; Actinopteri; Salmoniformes; Salmonidae. The record is from RefSeq and is a predicted model, not a curated record.
CAAUUUUAGAAUAAGGCUGUAACUGUCACGUUCUGACCUUAGUUCCUUUUUUAUGUCUUUAUUUUAGGUUGGUCAGGGCGUGAGUUGGGGUGGGCAUUCUAUGUUGUUUUUCUAUGUUUUGUUCUGUACGUUAUAUUUCUAUGUGUUUGGCCUAGUAUGGUUCUCCAUCAGAGGCAGGUGUCGAUCGUUGUCUCUGAUUGAGAAUCCUACUUAGGUAGCCUGUUUUCCCACUAUGGGUUGUGGGUAGUUGUUUUCCGUUUCAGUGUUUGCACCAUUCGGGACUGUGUCGGUUUUCAUUUUGAUUCUCUUGUUCUUUUUGUAUUUUGUAUUCAUUCUCAUUAAAAGUUAUUAUGGAUACGUACCACGCUGCACAUUGGUCCGAUGUUUCCUACUCCUCCUCAGACGAAGAGGACGAAAGCCGUUACAGUAACGUAACAAAACUUGGAAAAAGUCAAGGGUUCUGAAUACACAGUAAAACCUCCAGUGUUACAUUCACUGUGUCUAAAGUGAUGGACUCCCAUAGAGUUGUUUUAGCAACUGGCAGUGCCAAAUGACCCCUAGUGUCAGUGCUAGUAACUGGUGUUAAUUGCUAAGGUAUAACAUUUUACUCUAUUAGUGUAGACUUUUACUCGGUAAGUGUAAACAUCCUCACAACCCCGCCCAUAAAUUCAGUUUCUGUGUUCAAAUUUCCUCUUUUCUCGACGCCAUUGUUGGAUCAACAAAAUCCUAAUUUGUUCCACGCAAAGGAGAGUUUUAAACAAUUAUUCCACUGAUAUUAUUUAGCUAUUUAAUUUCAUUUAAAUACUUGAUACUUGGUUGUCAGACUACAGUGUAACAUAAAACACCUAACAGUUUUGAUUGUGUGUGUGCAGCUAAUUUUAGAGUUACUUGCGUUUCACUUUUUGCACGUAUUUGCUAGAUAGCUAGCAUGCUAGGGAACUAGCUCGCCCCUGUCCUGUGCAGUUAGUCUGUACAGGACAGGGGCGCGUGUCUCAUUUCAGCACCGAGCUUUUUUAGCCUCAUGCUAGUUUGUUCUCUUUAUUUCACCAGCUUACUAUAUAUUAAGGACUAAUCUGAUUUAAGGUCAGUUGUUUAUUUAGCCAAAUUUUAACAGAAUUUUCAACUUGUGGGUCAUUCAUUCUUCAAUUCACUUGCCAUCAAAUAGAUUUUUCCAGAUGUAUUUUUUUACAGCUAAUAGAGAGCAUACUGAAGAGAACCUGGUGGAGAGGUUGUCAUCAAAGAAUACUCCAAAACUAAAAGCCUGACUGACUGCACCAAACGAAAGAUGAUCAACAUUCUUGUUUCGGCGAUGACAGAGACUCACGGGACAUCACCACCGUGCGGAGUGCGAGAAACGUUUGCAGAAGGCAUCGUCUCCUUAUUCCCAUACCUGAAGGAUCCCUACACCACAAAUGGAUAUGUACAUUGGCAAGAAAAAGUAUGUGAACCCUUUGAAAAUACCUGGAUUUCUGCACAAAGUGGUCAUAAAAUUCAAUCUGAUCUUCAUCUAGGUCACAACAAUAUACAAACACAGUCUGCUUAAACUAAUAACACAAACAAGGAUACGUUUUCAUGUCUUUAUUGGACACACCGUGUAAACAUUCACAGUAUAGGGUGGGAAAAGUAUGUGAACUGUUGAUUUAUAACUGGUUGACCCUCCUUUGGCAGCAAUAACCUCAACCAACCUCUGUAGUUGUGGAUCAGACCUGCACAACGGUCAGGAGGAAUAUAUUCCUCUUCAGAAAACUGUUUCAGUUCAGCAAUAUUCUUGGGAUGUCUGGUGUGAACUGCUCUUUUGAGGUCAUGCCACAGCAUCUCAAUCGUGUUGAGGUCAGGACUCUGACUACGCCACUCCAGAAAGCGUAAAGGGUUCACAUACUUUUUCUUGCCACUGUAAGUAUACCUUACAACUUAUGAAGGGCAUCUGCAUUUAAUAGGUCUGGUAUGGUAUCUGAGAAAAUGGGACUUGGUUAUAAUUUUUUCCUUUCAAGAUUAGUAACCAUUUUUAUUUCCUUAAGAACAUUUUUACGACCCUACUAGUGGAGAAGGGUACCUCUCGUAUAGAAUCAAAACCGCUCAGAGGAAUUUGGCUUCAUCUUAGAAACGGCCCACUCAACUAUACUCUGGAGGGCCAACUGCUGAGAGGGAGUCCAGGCCAUCCACUUUGGUUACCCUGAUUGAAGACCAGUGCCCUGAGGCCUUUUCUCUACUUGAAGCAUUGUUCUGAUGAAGAAACAGUCAAAGAGAAGAUGAAAUUGACCUUUCAGUACAGGAAGAAGAUGACCCACGACCCGAGUAAAUGGUCCACCGUCCAAACCAAAUUUCCACGCUUUCUGGAUGUGAAGGGCUUGAUUGAACAGGAUUUUGUGCUGCUGUUUGGAGACGGAACGUCAGCCAAGUUUUUGGAGAGGUGGCCAACUACAUUCAAGCAAAAGAUCAUCACGCUAAGCAAUACCCGAAGCAAGGCCACUCAGGGAGCUGAACUUCAGGAGCUGAUCCAGAUGGCAGAAUCUGCAGUUGAUGAGGGAGCUGAUGCGAAUGCUGACGGAUGGGACGGUGACCUUUCCUCCGUCCUUCUACGGCCCCAUUUGAUUCCUCCAUCAUCCUAAGGCUGCAAAAAACAAGACAAGAUGUUUGCAUCCCAAGCUGAACAACAUCUUGCGAUAUUCUAAAAGGCAGGAACCAGUAUCCAGGAGCACCUUGAUGCGAUUGACCAGAGCCGCCAACCUUAUCUUCUUGCAGUUGGGACCAGGAAGAGCAGCAUCCAUGCUUACCUCAUCAUCCUGGAGAAGCGAGCGCUCUUGGUGCCAUCAAUGAGCUUUUCAAGACUCACCUAGCUUUUGGUACUGCUUACAAUACAAUGCUGUGCAACAUGUACACCUUCAUACAGACAACUGUGUGCAACAUAGACAUUGAGAAGGUUAAGGAGACUCCAAGGGUUGCUGAGCUCAGAGCUAAACUCCUGCACUAAUGCUGAUGAUGAUAUGUUUUCUUUGCCAUGCUAGUCAUGGAAGUAUCAACUUGCUCGUGAGGCAUCUCAAGUUGAUGCACGGAAUGUGUCCUGGUAGAACUCUUAGACUAAAAUGUGGUCAAGCAGAUUGUUCUUGUGUAUUUGGUACAUUUUCAGGCUUUAGGAAGCAUUUGAACAGGGCACAUUCCGGAGACGGUCAAAUUUUGUUAAACGCUAACUUGGAUGCUAAUACAGCUGUUGGUAAUCAGCCAAGUAAUACUGAUUUUCCUUCAAAUUCUAGUUGUAACGAUGUUGUACCAAUAUUUAACAAGGACACACUUCCGUGUGCGUCUGCUAUUGCUGCAGGCUGCAGGUAUAGGUCAGAUGAAUGUAAAUAGUUGUGUAUCUUCCAUGGAAGAAGCAGUUCAAGAGAUACAGGGUCACGCUAAAUCGACCGCUCGUACAUGUAUAUCUUCAAAAGAUGCAGGAACUGUCAGAAAAAUCUAACAUUCUUUUCAAGAUAUUGAAAAUCCUUUCAUAUUGUUGAAUUUGGGAUCAAAACGAACUGCUUAUUUCAUACAAAAAUGGGGAACAUUUCAACCAGUUGAGAAAGUCCUUGGUGUUAGUGUAACGGGUGUCGUCAGAAGGAUGAGACCAAGGCGCAGCGUUCUUUGUGUUCCACAUAAUUUAUUAACGAAGUGAAACUUAAGAAAAGACAAAACAAUAAAGAAUACACCGACCGAACAGCUUCGUUGUGCAAACUACCUGCACACAAACAAAGAACAAGAUCCCACACAGAAGGAGGGAAAAGGGCUGCCUAAUUAUGAUCCCCAAUCAGAGACAACGAUAGACAGCUACACUCGGCCAGAAACAAAGAAAUAAAAAAAACUAGAAAUAAAUAACAUAGAAUGCCCAUCCAAAUCACACCCUGACCAAACCAAAAUAGAGACAUAAAAAGGCUCUCUAAGGUCAGGGCGUGACAGUUAGAUUUGACAAUAGAAGAAACACAAUUACUGGAACUCAUGAUCAAAUAGUCAGAACUGAUAAAUGUUCUUACGUUCCAAUUCUCCAGACGUUGCAAUCAAUUUUGAAGAACCCAAACACAAGUGGCAUGUUUAACUCGGGGCACAAUUUUAGAGACGGUGUUUACUUUGAUUUGGAAGAUGGACUAUAUAUGAAGAGGCAUCCUCUCUUUUCGAAAGAGAAAAAUGCAUCGUAAAUUCAACUAUUUUAUGAUGACUUUGAGACUGCUAAUCCAUUGGGAUCAAAAAAGGGGUAUUCACAAGUUGGGAGGUAUGUACUUUACUUUGAGAAAUGUUAC